RNAcentral lists this ribosomal RNA (229 nucleotides) under Escherichia coli. RNAcentral describes it as "partial 16S ribosomal RNA". It matches the Rfam family "Bacterial small subunit ribosomal RNA", at positions 1 to 226 of the family's 1533-position model. The record is from RNAcentral. Lineage: Bacteria; Pseudomonadati; Pseudomonadota; Gammaproteobacteria; Enterobacterales; Enterobacteriaceae.
AAAUUGAAGAGUUUGAUCAUGGCUCAGAUUGAACGCUGGCGGCAGGCCUAACACAUGCAAGUCGAACGGUAACAGGAAGCAGCUUGCUGCUUUGCUGACGAGUGGCGGACGGGUGAGUAAUGUCUGGGAAACUGCCUGGUGGAGGGGGAUAACUACUGGAAACGGUAGCUAAUACCGCAUAACGUCGCAAGACCAAAGAGGGGGACCUUCGGGCCUCUUGCCAUCGGAU